Molecule: long non-coding RNA, 788 nt
Organism: Amphibalanus amphitrite
Lineage: Eukaryota; Metazoa; Arthropoda; Thecostraca; Balanomorpha; Balanidae
Exons: 5
Source: RefSeq, a predicted model, not a curated record
UUUUUGUUUUGUGCCUCAAUGCAGUCAUUCCAGCGCCAGGUCCCAGUCCAAGUGCUCCUUCUUCCGAUUGCCCCGGGACGAGGGGGAGUUGAAGAAAUGGACUACACUGAUGAGGAGACAAGAUGCAAAGCCCAAUGAGCAUUCAAGAGUGUGCUCUUGUCAUUUUAGGAAUGGCAAGAAAGAAGCUGGUCCAACCCUAUUUGCUUGGAAUGACUUCAAGAGAAGGUUAUCGGCCGUCGUCCAAACGGUGCGCGCGGGCCCUCAUCUUGUCCGACGGCGCGCCAACUUCGCGACUGGCUCCGACCUCGCUUGGCGUUGGUACAAGAGCUGCCGGGAGUCGCCCUGCGUCCUCGUCGGGGAGCCGAGAUUCCGGGCGGGCCGACUCCAACGUUUCCACACGAUAUCGCUUUGAUAGCCAGAACGGCCUACGACGUUCCACGGCGCACGCCCACCCGGAGCUGGCGGCCGCCCUGCCGUGACGGUCGCACGCCGCUGUACCUGGCCGUACUGCAGCCCACCCGGAGCUGGCGGCCGCCCUGCCGUGACGGUCGCACGCCGCUGUACCUGGCCGUACUGCAGGGCUGGCGGCCGCCCUGCCGUGACGGUCGCACGCCGCUGCACCCGGCCGUACUGCAACCCACCCGGAGCUGGUGUCGCAGAUGCCAAGCUGCGAGAUGACGGGGGUUAUCGGCCGUCGUCCAAACGGUGCGCGCGGGCCCUCAUCUUGUCCGACGGCGCGCCCACUUCGGGACUGGCUCCGACCUCGCUUGGCGUUGGUACAAGAGCUG